Molecule: ribosomal RNA, 253 nt
Filed under: uncultured bacterium
Lineage: Bacteria
Description: partial 16S ribosomal RNA
Rfam family: Bacterial small subunit ribosomal RNA
Source: RNAcentral
UACGAGUGGUGCAAGCGUUAUUCGGAUUUAUUGGGCGUAAAGGGUGCGCGGACGGUUUGUUAAGUCACCUGUUAAAUUCUCUGGCCUAACCAGAGGCAUGCGGGUGAAACUGAUGAACUAGAGGGUGGAAGAGAGAAGUGGAAUUCUCGGAGUAGCGGUAAAAUGCGUAGAUCUCGAGAGGAACACCAAUGGCGAAGGCAGCUUCUUGGUCCAUUUCUGACGUUCAUGCACGAAAGCGUGGGGAGCAAACAGG